AACCUUUACACUGCACGACAGUGCGAUAAGGGAAUCCCAAGUGCGUAGGCAUAGAGCCUACGCUUUUGUCCGCCGUAGGGAGGUGGACGAAUAAGGGCUGGGCAAGACCGGUGCCAGCCGCCGCGGUAAUACCGGCAGCCCGAGUGAUGGCCGAUCUUAUUGGGCCUAAAGCGUCCGUAGCUGGCCGCGCAAGUCUAUCGGAAAAUCCACCCGCUCAACGGGUGGGCGUCCGGUAGAAACUGCGUGGCUUGGGACCGGAAGGCGCGACGGGUACGUCCGGGGUAGGAGUGAAAUCCCGUAAUCCUGGACGGACCGCCGAUGGCGAAAGCACGUCGCGAAGACGGAUCCGACAGUGAGGGACGAAAGCUAGGGUCUCGAACCGGAUUAGAUACCCGGGUAGUCCUAGCCGUAAACAAUGCCUGCUAGGUGUGGCUCCCACUACGAGUGGGUGCUGUGCCGUAGGGAAGCCGCUAAGCAGGCCGCCUGGGAAGUACGUCCGCAAGGAUGAAACUUAA
This 515-nucleotide ribosomal RNA is filed under the name uncultured archaeon. RNAcentral's name for it is "bacterial SSU rRNA". It matches the Rfam family "Archaeal small subunit ribosomal RNA", at positions 345 to 859 of the family's 1478-position model. The record is from RNAcentral.